UCGAAUCUUUCUCUACGGUAAUU
This 23-nucleotide microRNA is filed under the name Parasteatoda tepidariorum (common house spider). Its description in RNAcentral is "pte-miR-35n-5p". Its record names the gene pte-miR-35n-5p. The record is from miRBase by way of RNAcentral. Lineage: Eukaryota; Metazoa; Arthropoda; Arachnida; Araneae; Theridiidae.